CCCUUUUCCUCUCAUGUCCUUCAUAUUUCCAAUGUAAUAUAUUCCCUCUUUUUCAUGAAAUUUGAUAUUUUAGAUAUCAGACAUUUAUAUCCAAACUGUCUAACCUAUCAAUACAAUCCAUUAUUGAUGUACACAUAUUAUGCAAUAACAACUAAACAUUCAAAACUAUUUAGAAACAAUUUUGUAAAUAUAUAUUAUAACUGAAUAAAAUUAAUAAACAUAAAAUCUUCACAUGAAGAAAAUUUAUCAGCCAAAAAAAUAUGCCAUACUAGUGUGUACUAAUGUUAUUGUUGUGUCAUUAUUCAUUCAAAGACCACAUAAUACAUGCGGCAUGCCACAGACAAAAAAUAACAAAAAAAAAAAAUUGACCGUUCAAUUUUAACCCGGGG
This 389-nucleotide long non-coding RNA is filed under the name Brassica rapa (field mustard). Its description in RNAcentral is "long non-coding RNA (BRAP_LNC001882)". Lineage: Eukaryota; Viridiplantae; Streptophyta; Magnoliopsida; Brassicales; Brassicaceae. The record is from RNAcentral.